AAACAGACGAUGACGGAGAAUAUUAAAAAAGGCUUUUAAAGAGACCUGAUGGGUGGUGUGAAUCAGGAAAGGCAAUUUUAAUUCUCACUCCUAAGUUUCAUAUCUGAAUAAAGUAAGAUAUGACGUUACUCACGUUACGAGAUCAAAGUGACAUAAACGAUGUUUAUGUAAUUUGGGUGGUACCGCGCAGACAAAGACUGCGUCCCAUUU
This 210-nucleotide non-coding RNA is filed under the name Fusibacter sp. RNAcentral describes it as "T-box sequence". It matches the Rfam family "T-box leader". From Rfam's summary of the family: Uncharged tRNA acts as the effector for transcription antitermination of genes in the T-box leader family. T-boxes are found upstream of many aminoacyl-tRNA synthetase genes and some amino acid biosynthetic genes usually in Gram-positive bacteria. The record is from RNAcentral. Lineage: Bacteria; Bacillati; Bacillota; Clostridia; Eubacteriales; Fusibacteraceae.